Asparagus officinalis (garden asparagus) is the source of this 2366-nucleotide long non-coding RNA. RefSeq lists it as uncharacterized. The record is from RefSeq and is a predicted model, not a curated record. Lineage: Eukaryota; Viridiplantae; Streptophyta; Magnoliopsida; Asparagales; Asparagaceae. The transcript has 3 exons.
UCACGAAAGCCAGAAACCAAAUAAAGGGAGGGAAAAUUCCCCCCUUUAUUUUCACGAAGAGCCAAACCCCUCCGUUCUCUCUCUCUCUCAUAAAAAAAUCGGCCGCCUCCGUGCUUCUUCUCUGAAGUUCGCCGCCUCCGUCGAAGCUCACCGCCGCCAAACCCCCCCGUUCUCUCUCUCUCUCAUUCGAAAAUCGGCCCCAAACCCGCCCGUGCCUCUUCUCUGAAGUUCGCCGCCUCCGUCGAAGAUCACCGCCGCCAUCGUCGGAGUUCGCCGCCUCCGUUGGAUCUCCCCUCCUCUCCUCCUCCUGCUCAACGAGGAGGAUCGUAAGAUCAGUAAUCAAACCCUCCCGUGCCCUAAUUUUUUUUGGGUAUUGAAUUUGCCCUAAUUUUUUUUGGGUAUAUUAGUAUUUGUGAUUUCUCCGUAAGUAUUUGUGAACAUCUACAUGAAUUCUCCGUAAGUUUUUUUUGGGUAUCUUAGUAUUUGUGAUUUCUCCGUAAAUUUUUUUUGGGUAUCAUUGUUAGUUGAUUAAUUUGAUUAGUUUGAUUUCAAAAAGCAGUUUAAGGUGACUUAUGUUUUAUAGGAUUGAUAUUCUGGAUGAAGCACAACUCAAGCCUGGUUGUAUUAACAGAAAAAUUGAGUUCCCUAACCCCUAUGAAGAUGUAUGAAUUUAUGCGUAACUAUCUAAUCUAACCACAUCAUAGUUUUUAUUAAAUGUUACUGCUGCUCCAUGACCUCCUGUAACAGUGAUGACCAAUUCCUAUCCUGUUCAGUCUCAUUUGGUAUUUUGAAGAUCCACUUAAGGAAGAUAAACUUGAUACGAGAGAAUGAUCUAAAAGAAGAUCGCAGAAAAAUGAAUGGUGCCUCUGCUGCAGAAUUUAAGGUUUAGAUUGUUGUUCAGCAGAAUAAGCUGAGGCAUAUUACAUGCAUUGAGAGCUAGAAAAGGAUUAGGCUUCUUUGAUCUAUUAGAUAAGAUCAUUUAUUUUAAUCAUUGUGCUCUUUUUUCGUAUUUGAGAAUGGAGAGAAUUACUACUACUAUUUUUUAUUGAUACCAUCUGUAUUGAAUGUUUGAGCACUAGUCUUCUUAAAGGAAUGUUAUUCUUCCCAAAUAUCUUUGAUGUGUCACAAUCCCUCUUUCUGCUUUCUUCUACCCUCUUGUAAGUCUUUUACAAUAUUUUUUCUUCUCAACAUGUUGCAUAUAAGUUUGCUACUACUAUUGAAUUAGGCCAAGAUUAGCCCUAAAGUUUCUGUAACACUUUAGUAUGACAGAGAUGUGAUUCUAAUAUACAUACACCUUUAUAGAGUUUGUCCAUUAGUAAAUUGAAGAAAAGGUAUUAUUUUGGUCAGGGGGCAUCUCCUAAUAUACCAACUUUAUCUCAAUGCAUAUGCUUCAUUAUUGAGUGAGUCAUAUCACUUUAUGUAACAAGGUAUCAUUAAUGCUAGCAACAACUAGCAACAUCAAGCUGUCCUAACAACCUAACAACAAUACAUUAGAUUAUAUAAAUAUAUGUAUUACAGUAAAAUUUGAAUCUGAACUACUUUGAGCUUGGGGAUAUUAAAGGAGAAUAGGAUUCGGAUUUUUGACUGCUACUUGGUAUCAGAAUAUUUUGACACCCUGAUAUGUACAUUUUGGGGGGCCAUCUCUCCAUCCAUUAAUUGACCGAUUUAGUCUUCGUUGAUCCGAAAAAUAUUUAACAUUAUGUAGCUUUGAAUUUGAAUUUUUCAAGCUUGUAUCCUGUCAUGUAACUGCUUUAGCACAGAAAUAUUGAAUAACUGAAAAAGCAUGCAUUUGUAAUCUAAGAAGGAAAAAGGCUGACAGGACUUGAGCAGUGAAUAGAGCACAGCAGCUUCUGGAUGUUAAAGCAAAAGGGAGGGAGGGAGAAUAAUCUCACUGAGAUUUUGUGUGAUGCCUUGUUCUCUUCUUUUGUUGAGGAUGCAUGAUGCAUGCAGGACUCUCUAUGACCAGCUUCCUAUUUUUGAUCAAACAUCAAACUAUCAGAUUUUGGUAGGUAUGAAAUGUAACGAGAAUAGUAAGUUAAUGUGUUAUGAGCAGGAAACAGGACUGAAACAGUACAACAUGAGGAUAAAUCAACAUCAAGUUAAAAAAAUGACCAUGAAGAUGAAAUGUGCAAGUGACAUGCGAGAGGCAAACACUGUUGCAGAUGCACUAUCUAAACUGGGUCAUGUUCUUCCUCAAAUCCAUUUGUUCUUUGUAAUUAAUGAUACAAAUUUGAUAUUGUUGUUUCUAGUUUUCUUGAUGUAAUCUGUUUUUGAGAGACUUUAUGUACUUGGGUAUGCAAGAGGAAGUUUGUAAAUUAACGCUUUUAGCACUCAAGGGGAAAUGGAAAAAUAGACUUUUAUGUUGA